UACGUAGGGCGCAAGCGUUGUCCGGAAUUAUUGGGCGUAAAGAGCUCGUAGGCGGUUUGUCGCGUCUGCUGUGAAAACUCGAGGCUCAACCUCGGGCUUGCAGUGGGUACGGGCAGACUAGAGUGCGGUAGGGGUGACUGGAAUUCCUGGUGUAGCGGUGGAAUGCGCAGAUAUCAGGAGGAACACCGAUGGCGAAGGCAGGUCACUGGGCCGCAACUGACGCUGGAGGAGCGAAAGCAUGGGGAGCGAACAGG
Molecule: ribosomal RNA, 254 nt
Filed under: uncultured bacterium
Lineage: Bacteria
Description: partial 16S ribosomal RNA
Rfam family: Bacterial small subunit ribosomal RNA
Source: RNAcentral